CGAGCCCGCCCCGCCCUCGGAAUCCCCAUCCGCACGCAGGGCGACAGCGCCGAGGCACCUGCUCCGCCCUAGCGGGACUUGCUGCUUCUGAACCUUCAGAAACACCCGGAGCAGCAGGAUAGAGACUCCCGAUCUCGAGCCCUUCCCAUGCAGUACCACGAACGGCCUCCCUGUCCCUGGGGGAAGUGACUCCGCGGGGUGCGGGGAGCGAGAGCGAGCCUGACCCCAGCAGUCCUUCCAGCAGCGAGACCCCCUGUAAGUAGGGUGCAGGUCUCUUCCCCCUUGGCUCCGUUAGCCGUCUGGAGAGAAUGACCCACCCUGUAAGUAGGGUGCAGGUGACACCCCUGUGACUCAGUGAGGAGGUCGAGCUCUUUAAUCCCUAUGGGCAAUGUAGCCUCCCUGUAAGUAGAGUUCAGAUCUUGCCUUUUGCUGUGGUAGGUUUAAGAACCGUUGGCAUGCUACUCGGUGACCUCCCUGUAAUUGGGGUCCGGCUCACGGCCCUAUGGUUGGUGGGAUUUAGGGCUUGCGUACUAGGCUGGAUGCCAGUGACCUGCUUGUAACUUUGGGUUUCGGUCUUUUCCCUUUUGGCUUUCUUGGCACCGUGGUGCUCCAGCAAGGCAGUCAGAAAGACUGCUUGCUUCAGAAGAGUUCAGGUCUUGAUUUUUUCAUUCAAUGCGGAUAUUGAGCCUUUAAGUACCUUGAGACCGAGUGACCGCCCUGUAAGUAGGGUUGGGGUCUUUCCCCUUGUGAGCUCUAGGUGCUAAACCCUGGUAGUUGGCUAGUCGGCAUGGACCUCCUAGGAACUAGGGUUCAGGUCUCUUCCCUUCUUUAAUCCAGGUGAUAGACAUUUAUGGCAGGCGAACUGGUAUGACCGCCCUGGAACUAGGGUUCAGGUUGCUCCCCUCCUUUUACUUUAGGUCAUAGACACUUAUGGCUGGCUAGUUGGUGUGACAGCCCUAUAACUAGGGUUCACAUCUCUCCCCUUUGAAACCUAGGUAAUAUAGAAUUAUGGCCAGCUAGUCAGCGUGGACCACCCUGUAACCAGGGUUCAGGUCCAUUUCCUUUUGAAAGCCAAGCAAUAUAGAAUUAUGGCCUGUAAGUAGGGUUCAGGUCUCAUAAGCAUAAGCAGGGUGACCUUUUUAAUACAAUGUGCCCAUAACCUUUCGCGGUUAGCUCUUUUUCUGCUUUGGGAAGUGCUGUGUCAUGUGGUAUGUCUGUGUUGGAGAGCGAAUGUGAUGUGCAUGGGUGUGGAAGGUCUUUCUUUCUUUAUUUGUAAAUUGCUGCAGCUUUUUUGUUUUGGUUGAAUGAGCACUUCCCAGAACUAGAAAAAGAACUUGUUUGUUUUUUAUGGACCCCAUUUACACAUAUAGUGGCACGAUUGAUGGUUUGGGCCUCGUGCCUUAAGGCUGAAAAGGUGUUUGGGCCACUUGCUUAAGUUCCUCUAGACCGUGUGAUCUCCCUGCAUCUACGGCUCAGGUCACGUCCCUCUUCCUUCUGGGGAGAUGAUGGACUGCCAAGAACCUUAGGUCUGAGGGACCUCUUUUCCCUUUGGUACGUGAGCCACCUUGUUUAGCGAUUUCCCCCUGUCUCCAGAGUUCAGGUCUUGUCCCUGGCCCUCCCGGCUCUUUUUAGUCCCUUGUCCUUGAGUGGGCGCCCCGUAAUUAGGUGGCAGGUCACAUCACUCGCUUACAGGGGGUUAAUGAACCCUUUGGGGACCUAGAGCAGUGAGACCUGCCUGCAAUUAGAGUUCAGAGGUGUCCUUUUUGCUUUCACGUGACUCUUCUCCUUUGGUUUCUGAGUCAGAGUGACAGUCAUGUAAGAAGGAUGUAGGUCACGUCAGUGAGGAUCUGGAGAGGGUGGUACCUAAAGCAGCGAGACCACGCUGUAACUACGGUAUAGAUCGUUCCCCUCUUUUUCUCUUGGGCUUAUGAACCCUUGACAGGCUGGUCGGUGUGACCUCCCUGUAAGCAGGGCAUAGGUCACUUUUCUCGUUUAUGUGGGAUUAGGGGGCCGUCUUGGUCCCCCAAGAGCUCACCCUCUCUUAGGGUAGAGACCAAAACCCUUCUUAGCAUCUUGUCAUUAUGCUGCUCUUGCAGGCUAGCCAGAGUGAUCAUUCUGUAAUUGGGGCUCAGGUCACGUCCCUCUCGCUUAUGGGGGGAAUUCAGGUCUUAAUCGCUUGGGCCUUUGGGACCUCCCUGUAAUCAGGGUUGCGGUCCUACUCUUUUUGCUGUUGUGGGGUUCUGGUCCUUUAGGCUCAGCAGAGGGACCUCCUCCAUGGUUAGGGUGCAAGUCACGUCGGCCCCUCUGAUGCUCCCGGCACAGUCCUGGCCCUCUGGAGUGCCUUUCAAGCUCGCCCAAGGUUCUGCAGCGACGCCUCCUGGGUUCUGCCUCGCUUUUGAUCAUUGGAGUCCAGAGAGUCUGCAACAACUGCUGGCGAAUUCAAGUGAGGAAGCAGGAAACCUGGCUCCACAGAGGCAUUAGUUGAGCCUUUGGCACUUUGGGAGACAUGAACGCCUGGGUGUCAAGUGUGCCGUCAAAGCGCAUGAUGGGGACUGCUCAGAAUUCCCUUCCAGCUAUAAGUUGAAGGCUGCCUGUAGAGGCAAGACGACAAGCACAUGAGGAAGAAAAUGGGAAGGAGGAAACAGAAGAUGGAAGAGGAGGAGAAAAUAUGCAUCGGGCACAACGACUGCCCUGUAACUGGG
This is a long non-coding RNA of Trachemys scripta elegans, 2702 nucleotides long. RefSeq lists it as uncharacterized. NCBI's taxonomy places the organism in Eukaryota, Metazoa, Chordata, Testudines, Emydidae. The transcript is spliced from 3 exons. The record is from RefSeq and is a predicted model, not a curated record.